AUUGAACGCUGGCGGCAUGCCUUACACAUGCAAGUCGAACGGCAGCGGACCUUCGGGUGCCGGCGAGUGGCGAACGGGUGAGUAAUACAUCGGAACGUACCUUUCAGUGGGGGAUAACGUAGCGAAAGUUACGCUAAUACCGCAUAUUCUGUGAGCAGGAAAGCAGGGGAUCGCAAGACCUUGCGCUGAUUGAGCGGCCGAUAUCAGAUUAGCUAGUUGGUGAGGUAAAGGCUCACCAAGGCGACGAUCUGUAGCGGGUCUGAGAGGAUGAUCCGCCACACUGGAACUGAGACACGGUCCAGACUCCUACGGGAGGCAGCAGUGGGGAAUUUUGGACAAUGGGCGCAAGCCUGAUCCAGCCAUGCCGCGUGAGUGAAGAAGGCCUCGGUUGUAAG
RNAcentral lists this ribosomal RNA (395 nucleotides) under uncultured bacterium. RNAcentral's name for it is "bacterial SSU rRNA". It matches the Rfam family "Bacterial small subunit ribosomal RNA", at positions 30 to 429 of the family's 1533-position model. The record is from RNAcentral.